RNAcentral lists this ribosomal RNA (507 nucleotides) under Fusarium oxysporum. RNAcentral describes it as "eukaryotic LSU rRNA". The stretch from base 171 to 324 matches the Rfam family "5.8S ribosomal RNA". Lineage: Eukaryota; Fungi; Ascomycota; Sordariomycetes; Hypocreales; Nectriaceae. The record is from RNAcentral.
GGGGACUGCGGAGGGAUCAUUACCGAGUUUACAACUCCCAAACCCCUGUGAACAUACCACUUGUUGCCUCGGCGGAUCAGCCCGCUCCCGGUAAAACGGGACGGCCCGCCAGAGGACCCCUAAACUCUGUUUCUAUAUGUAACUUCUGAGUAAAACCAUAAAUAAAUCAAAACUUUCAACAACGGAUCUCUUGGUUCUGGCAUCGAUGAAGAACGCAGCAAAAUGCGAUAAGUAAUGUGAAUUGCAGAAUUCAGUGAAUCAUCGAAUCUUUGAACGCACAUUGCGCCCGCCAGUAUUCUGGCGGGCAUGCCUGUUCGAGCGUCAUUUCAACCCUCAAGCACAGCUUGGUGUUGGGACUCGCGUUAAUUCGCGUUCCUCAAAUUGAUUGGCGGUCACGUCGAGCUUCCAUAGCGUAGUAGUAAAACCCUCGUUACUGGUAAUCGUCGCGGCCACGCCGUUAAACCCCAACUUCUGAAUGUGACCUCGGAUCAGGUAGGAUGCCCGAGU